RNAcentral lists this ribosomal RNA (215 nucleotides) under Campeiostachys nutans. RNAcentral's name for it is "Elymus nutans partial small subunit ribosomal RNA". The stretch from base 86 to 215 matches the Rfam family "Eukaryotic small subunit ribosomal RNA", at positions 733 to 864 of the family's 1831-position model. Lineage: Eukaryota; Viridiplantae; Streptophyta; Magnoliopsida; Poales; Poaceae. The record is from RNAcentral.
GGACCAUCAUGUCGGUCGUGCCUCGGUACGUACUGGUAUUGUUGGUUUCUCCCUUCUGGAGAAGCUUGAUGUCCUUAAUUGGGUGUUGUGGGGAAUCAGGACUGUUACUUUGAAAAAAUUAGAGUGUUUAAAGCAGGCUCACGCUUGAAUACAUUAGCAUGGAAUAAUGAAAUAGGACGUUUGAUUCUAUUUUGUUGGUUUCUAGGAUCGACGUA